AAAACAAGAAAAUAUAACCAGAUGUGAAUCACACUAGCCAUAAAAAUGUCUGCCAUAAAUAUCACAAAAAAAAAGACAUAAAAGUUAAUAAAAUUGCAAGUAAUCAUUAUAAAAUAAUUAUUAAAAAAUUAAAAUUGAAAUCAAAUUCUUUAAACCGCCUCCCCUGUACCAUGACCUACCCAGCGCUUGACGAAAUCGCCUCCAUGUCAUAGAGACGAUGGUUACGGAGGCGGUCAUGAGUCAGUUUUGUGAACUGCCUCUAGCAAAUAUAGGGGCGGUGCCUUGAGAAAAACUGUAGUUAAUAGUGGAAUUAAGGGAUCAUCUCAUAUUAUGAAAUUGUCAAGUCUUUGAGUGGGAAAUUUACAUGUGGAUAAUAAUUAUCUUGUUGUAUCUCUUUUUGAACAUCUUCAUAUAAUUUGCUUCUUCUGAGUUGCUGAAGGUAAUAAUUAUUUUGGAUCUAUCAGUGCAAUGAUUUGAAUAUCUCUAAAAUCUUAACUUUAUGGCAUUCAGGGAUGAGUGACCUUUGUUAACACAGAAAAGUGUCUUAAAAAUGUCUUGACAGCAUGAAUUAGUAUGGGAAAAAAGAAAAAGACAGAAAAGGGAUUGUUCUUUUAGUGCUAUCUAGAAUGACAAUUCACCUCGUUUGUAUUAUUCUUAUUUUAUUCUGCAAGAAUAAGUAGCAUCUUUUCAUUAAUUGAUACAAAUAGUGUGCAAAAUAAACAAGUUCCAUUUAUUAUCACCUCAUUGUUUUCUCUUUCACUAUAUUGCAACAUACCAAACAUGACACAAUUGUAUGACCUUUCAUCAUUAUGUGGACUCGAGGCUGUCUUCUGUAGUUGAUAUUUCCAGGGCACCGGCCAUCUCUUUUUGUUGAGGACAUCCUUGGAAGUAAUUAAAUCCUUAUUGCUUGCUUUCUAAUGUAACUUCCCAUUGCUGAAGUAUCUUUGUUUGUGAAUUGUUACUUCGCCCUGAAGGCCUGGAAUGCACAAAACGGUGGAGCUGUGGCCAUUCUGGUUUUAGAUGACAAGAAUGAACCAAUGAUUACAAUGGACACCCCUGAAGAAGAAAAUGCAGAUGCUGACUAUCUGCUAAGAUGUAUAAGAGCUCUGUACACGUUUUGUCCUUGUUGGAGGCUCCACCAGGAUUUCAAAGUGAGCUACCCUCAAAAGCUAGGCAAACUAAGAUAUCUUCUACAUCCAAUUCAUGCCAUGGUGGCUUUCCUGUGAUCAUCUCAAUAACAAUGCAACCCAGAGACCAAAUAUCCAAAGCUGGUGAUAUCUCGGCAAGCUUUACAGAUUCAGGAGACAUGUACAAGGGAGUUCCACGGAAAGUGUACUGGUAAAAGAAUUUCCUUGAAUUGCCUUCAUCAGGCUCUUUUGCCAAGCUAAAAUUUCCAAUCUUGAGCUGAAAAUCAUAUUGAUCAGAAGAGAAAAUAAGGAUAUUGACAAGUUUAAGAUCACAAUGAGCAUAUCUAUUAUUUUGUCUAAAUGAUAACCCUUUAAUAAUCAUCCAAGUAUAUCAUCACAUUCAAGCAUUUUUUCUGACAUAUUUAUUAAUCAAGUCUACAAGACUAACACAAGGAACAUAUUUCAGUAAUAAAUUAUAAAUCGAUGUGUAAUUUUCACGACUCAAACAGUCUUCAUAGUCUUUAAUUCUAUCCGCAGAGAAAAAGAAUCUAUUAUCAGUGCACACUUCACAGUAAAAGUGGCAGAAAUAAUGUUGGUCGGUAUGGCCAAGAAGACCGAGCCACAGGAUCCCUUCCCGGAGCACUUCUGGCGAGCCCAGUCCAUAGUAAGCCAAUACAGGUUGAGAAUAGUGCAGUAGAAUCCUUGGGUAGGCAGUCCUUUUCCUUGUAGGAUUUAGUAUGUAUAAUCAUUUUCCUUGUAGGAUUUACUUUCAAAUUCACAGUGUCGUUUGCCCUUAAAGAGUUGGCGUUUGAUUGAACAUCG
Molecule: unclassified non-coding RNA, 1949 nt
Filed under: Hevea brasiliensis (rubber tree)
Lineage: Eukaryota; Viridiplantae; Streptophyta; Magnoliopsida; Malpighiales; Euphorbiaceae
Source: RNAcentral